Long non-coding RNA from Homo sapiens (human), 3111 nucleotides. Lineage: Eukaryota; Metazoa; Chordata; Mammalia; Primates; Hominidae. The record is from Ensembl.
ACAUCAGCCUGCCCCACAGAGCAAGCCGGAUGAAAGGGGGAAAACCCUCUGGGGCAGAGGAUACGGAACCUGGGCUGAAUCUAUUGCUUGGAGUCUGAGAAAGGAAAACCUUGGGCAGCCCAGAUCCUAGUUCCCACUGCAAGCAGCAAACACCAUUGGAUCUUCUGGCAUGGGUAUAGAUUUCCAGGGAGGAAGAAUGAAAAACAGGAAGAGUCAAGAAAGGAAGUUGAAAAGAGCCUGCGUUAUAGAGACGGCUGCUGCUGGGGAGACCGAUUACUUAAUCAUGGACUGAAGCCUUUGGAAGCCAUAUAAGCUACAACCCAGGACUGAUGAGGCUGGGUGUAGCAAGAAAGAGGAAAUCAUGCAACUACUGGCUCCCAUCACCAAUGGCCCAAAGGCCAGAUUCCAGAGGACGGUUACUGGGAAAAGUGGACAGAGUUGAUCUUCUCAUGGUUGUCUGAUCUCUCACGCCCAAUAAUGAAGAAAAUGGAGGGAAAUGGAUGGUGACCUCAGACUCAAUCUUUCCUUCUCACUUCUUCAAUAGGUGGAGUGUCCUGACUUUCCAGAGGCCCAUGUAAGGUCCCUGUACUUUGGUCCUUCUUCAGCCCAAGCCAGCAUGCAGACCUUCUUCAACAGCAGCUCCUGAGAAGAGGCCACUUCUGAAACCACUGUCACAUCAUCCCACACUCUUCCAUCCUACUUCUGAGUCACACUAGGCUCUUUCUAACCUUGCUCACCCUCCAUAAAAGAAAAAUGAUUUUUGCCUAACUCUUGAGAAGCUUGCAGAUCUUGCGGUCAGAGCAUUCCUCUUAUUCUAAUAGUCUUUCCCUGUACCCUUAUAAUGCUCCUUUCCAGUGAAGUCCCUCCCUUCCUGAGUCCUGAUGUGUUUUUUACUUGACAUGGCUGAGCAUGGGCACUGGUAGUUUUUUUUGUUUGUUGUUUUUUUGUUUGUUUGUUUGUUUGUUUGAGACUGAGUUUCACUCUUGUUGCCUGGGCUGGAGUGCAAUGGCGCAAUCUCAGCUCGCCACAACCUCCGCCUCCUGGGUUCAAGUGAUUUUCCAGGCUCAGCCUCCUGAGUAGCUGGGAUUACAGGCACCCGCCGUCAUGCCAGGCUAAUUUUUGUUUGUUUGUGUGUUUUGUUUUGUUUUGUAUUUUUGUAGAAAUGGGGUUUCACCAUGUUGGCCAGAGUUCUUAAACUUGACCAUGUACCAGAAUCCCCUGGAGGCCUUGUUAAAAAACACAGAUGUUGACCACUGCCCCAAAGGUUCAGAUUAACUAAGUCAUGGAGGACCCUGGCAUUUGCCUUUCUAACAACUUCCCAGGAGAGUCAGGCUGCUCAAUUGGCACCUCACCUUCAGAUUCACUGUAGAACCCAACAGAGAGAGGAAAGUGAUGGGGCAGCUGCUGGAACAUGCAGGAACAUGGAGACUUUAAUCUCAGGGAAAUGAGGAACCACAGAAGCAUGAAAACCAGCAAGCACUUAAUCACAUCUGCCUGUUUUGGAAAUCCCUCCAUCUAAAGCUUGGAGGACAAACUGGAAGGAACAGAAUCAUGGAAAGUAGCUUCCCAUGAGGAAGCUGCCUCAUGGUCCAGGUGGGAAAUGACAGUGGCUUGGCCUGAGGUGGGCAGUGCAGUGCCAGUGAUCGAAGAGAAGCAGAGAUUCAAGUGGUUUUUAAGCAGCAACAGGCAUGAGGCUCAGGGGCUGACUGGAGGUGGAGAAUGAGGAGGAGAAAGGAGUCACGUGUGAUCCUUAGCGUUCAGGUGAUAAAUGGUGUGCAUUAUGCCAGGAGGAAAGCCAAGAAGAGGAGAAGCUCAGGAGGAAAAGCUGAGGCUGUUGCUACCUGGAGUUUGGUCUGCUGGAGAAACCGGGAAUGAGGAUGGACAGUAGGCAAAAAGAAGGUUCUGGAGGGUCAGAGUUUGGUCCGGGCCGGUGAGUGGCUUAGAGACCAUCAGUGAAAUACAUAUGGCAAGUGAAGCCGUGGUAAUGGGUGAUGUCACACCAAAGAGAGGACAGAGUCAUAAGGAAAAAGAUGAAAAGCAGACAAAUAGAGGAGGGCCCUCCCGGGCCCAGACUAAUGCCAGCCUCAGUGCCUUUCUCAACACAGUCUCAUACUUUUCAUGCUCCCAUUUUCCUCAUAAUUUUACAGGACUCCGUUUUCUCUCCCCUACUAGAAUCUACCUGGAUAACUCUCCCAUUUAUUAGUAGUUUGUGCCAGCUUUUCCAGGCAGUGCUUAUUUUUCUUGGAAAAGGUAUUUGGCAAGAUAAACCAUAUUUAUUUGUGAAUGUUUAUUUUUUAAGCUAUAAAAAGAAAGUUGACCAAUAUGAGAAAUGUCUUCUCCCUCUGCUCUUUUCUUCUGGUGCCAUGCAACAGAUAGAAGAGUCAGAGUUGAAGGGCCAACCCAAGGAUGAAGGCACUGCCCGCCCGCCUGUGGUGGGCAUGUGGAUGAGGAAUCCGUGCCUGCACAUAGCACUCAAGAUCCACCACACUGACUUCUUUAAGGGAAAUAAAAUGGAGCUCUCUGCCCCAGAAAUUGUUCAUCAUAUGGUUGUGCAUAUUUAUAUAGAGACUGUUAUAUUUUUAGUUGGAAGAAGGUGGGUUUUUUUCUCAGUUUCUAUGGUAAAUUGCUUGUAAAGUUUGCAUUUGUAUAAUGAAAGUAAUAACACUGAAUCGGUCCAUUUGCCCAAGCAGGAAAUGCACCCUAUUGUCAGGUUUCGAAAUACAUGAACCUUUAAAAACAGAAGCCAUAUGAAUGGAAAAACAUGGAAUGCUUUUUUAAAAAAUGUAGUAUCCUCUGACAUGAAGUUAAAGUCCCCAGAUGCUCCCAACUGUACAGUUCCCUGGGGCAGUGGAUGUGCACUUAUUCUUCUUGGGGAAGUGGGGAGCAGGGCCCUUCCCGCAUGACUCAGCUCAUCUUAGACUUGUGCUGUCCGAUGGGGAACAAGCCGCACAUGGUUACUGAGCACUUGAGAUGCGGUGAGUCCACAUUGAGAUGUGCUGUAAAAGUCAAACCCACACUGGAUUUGGAAGAAUGUAAACUAUUUUUAUGUUGAUUUCAUGUGGAAUAAUAAUAAUUUUGAUAUAUUAAAUAUUAUCAAAUAGGUUAAAUAAA